Molecule: ribosomal RNA, 253 nt
Filed under: uncultured bacterium
Lineage: Bacteria
Description: partial 16S ribosomal RNA
Rfam family: Bacterial small subunit ribosomal RNA
Source: RNAcentral
UACAGAGACUGCAAGCGUUAUUCGGAUUCACUGGGCGUAAAGGGUGCGCAGGCGGCCGUGUGUGUGAGGCGUGAAAGCCUGGAGCUUAACUCCAGAAUUGCACCUCAAACUACACGGCUAGAGCAUUGGAGAGGGUAGCAGAAUUCACGGUGUAGCAGUGAAAUGCGUAGAUAUCGUGAGGAAUACCAGAGGCGAAGGCGGCUACCUGGACAAUUGCUGACGCUCAGGCACGAAAGCUAGGGGAGCAAAAGGG